This 253-nucleotide ribosomal RNA is filed under the name uncultured bacterium. RNAcentral describes it as "partial 16S ribosomal RNA". It matches the Rfam family "Bacterial small subunit ribosomal RNA", at positions 524 to 776 of the family's 1533-position model. The record is from RNAcentral.
UACGGAGGAUGCGAGUGUUAUCCGGAAUCACUGGGCGUAAAGCGUCUGUAGGUGGUCAAAUAAGUCAACUGUUAAAUCUUGAGGCUCAACCUCAAAAUCGCAGUCGAAACUAUUAGACUAGAGUAUAGUAGGGGUAAAGGGAAUUUCCAGUGGAGCGGUGAAAUGCGUAGAGAUUGGAAAGAACACCGAUGGCGAAGGCACUUUACUGGGCUAUUACUAACACUCAGAGACGAAAGCUAGGGUAGCAAAUGGG